RNAcentral lists this ribosomal RNA (386 nucleotides) under uncultured bacterium. RNAcentral describes it as "bacterial SSU rRNA". It matches the Rfam family "Bacterial small subunit ribosomal RNA", at positions 28 to 416 of the family's 1533-position model. The record is from RNAcentral.
GACGAACGCUGGCGGCGUGCUUAACACAUGCAAGUCGAGCGGUAAGGCCCUUUCGGGGGUACACGAGCGGCGAACGGGUGAGUAACACGUGGGUGACCUGCCCUCAGCUCUGGGGUAAGCCCGGGAAACUGGGUCUAAUACCGGAUAUGACUCCAUGACGCAUGUUGUGGGGUGGAAAGCCUUGUGCGGCUGAGGAUGGGCCCGCGGCCUAUCAGCUUGUUGGUGGGGUGAUGGCCUACCAAGGCGACGACGGGUAGCCGGCCUGAGAGGGCGACCGGCCACACUGGGACUGAGAUACGGCCCCGACUCCUACGGGAGGCAGCAGCUAGGAAUCUUGGGAAUGGGCGAAAGCCUGACCCAGCAACGCCGCGUGGGCGAUGAAGGCC